AUUGAACGCUGGCGGCAUGCUUUACACAUGCAAGUCGAACGGUAACAGGCCGCAAGGUGCUGACGAGUGGCGAACGGGUGAGUAAUGCAUCGGAACGUGCCCAGUCGUGGGGGAUAACUACUCGAAAGAGUAGCUAAUACCGCAUACGAUCUAUGGAUGAAAGCGGGGGACCGUAGGGCCUCGCGCGAUUGGAGCGGCCGAUGUCAGAUUAGGUAGUUGGUGGGGUAAAGGCUCACCAAGCCAACGAUCUGUAGCUGGUCUGAGAGGACGACCAGCCACACUGGGACUGAGACACGGCCCAGACUCCUACGGGAGGCAGCAGUGGGGAAUUUUGGACAAUGGGCGCAAGCCUGAUCCAGCAAUGCCGCGUGCAGGAAGAAGGCCUUCGGGUUGUAAACUGCUUUUGUACGGAACGAAACGGCUCUGGUUAAUACCCGGGGCUAAUGACGGUACCGUAAGAAUAAGCACCGGCUAACUACGUG
RNAcentral lists this ribosomal RNA (482 nucleotides) under uncultured bacterium. RNAcentral's name for it is "partial 16S ribosomal RNA". It matches the Rfam family "Bacterial small subunit ribosomal RNA", at positions 30 to 507 of the family's 1533-position model. The record is from RNAcentral.